UACGGGGGGGGCAAGCGUUGUUCGGAAUUACUGGGCGUAAAGCGUGCGCAGGCGGUUCGUUGUGUCGGCGGUGAAAGCCCCGGGCUCAACCUGGGAAUGGCCGUUGAAACUGGCGAACUGGAGUGUGGCAGAGGGGGGUGGAAUUCCGCGUGUAGCAGUGAAAUGCGUAGAGAUGCGGAGGAACACCGAUGGCGAAGGCAGCCCCCUGGGCUGACACUGACGCUCAGGCACGAAAGCGUGGGGAGCAAACAGG
This 253-nucleotide ribosomal RNA is filed under the name uncultured bacterium. RNAcentral's name for it is "partial 16S ribosomal RNA". It matches the Rfam family "Bacterial small subunit ribosomal RNA", at positions 524 to 776 of the family's 1533-position model. The record is from RNAcentral.